UGGAAGUAAAAGUCGUAACAAGGUCUCCGUUGGUGAACCAGCGGAGGGAUCAUUACCGAGUUUACAACUCCCAAACCCAAUGUGAACGUUACCAAACUGUUGCCUCGGCGGGAUCUCUGCCCCGGGUGCGUCGCAGCCCCGGACCAAGGCGCCCGCCGGAGGACCAACCUAAAACUCUUAUUGUAUACCCCCUCGCGGGUUUUUUUAUAAUCUGAGCCUUCUCGGCGCCUCUCGUAGGCGUUUCGAAAAUGAAUCAAAACUUUCAACAACGGAUCUCUUGGUUCUGGCAUCGAUGAAGAACGCAGCGAAAUGCGAUAAGUAAUGUGAAUUGCAGAAUUCAGUGAAUCAUCGAAUCUUUGAACGCACAUUGCGCCCGCCAGUAUUCUGGCGGGCAUGCCUGUCCGAGCGUCAUUUCAACCCUCGAACCCCUCCGGGGGGUCGGCGUUGGGGAUCGGCCCUCCCUUAGCGGGUGGCCGUCUCCGAAAUACAGUGGCGGUCUCGCCGCAGCCUCUCCUGCGCAGUAGUUUGCACACUCGCAUCGGGAGCGCGGCGCGUCCACAGCCGUUAAACACCCAACUUCUGAAAUGUUGACCUCGG
This 597-nucleotide ribosomal RNA is filed under the name fungal sp. ARIZ B149. RNAcentral describes it as "eukaryotic LSU rRNA". The stretch from base 258 to 411 matches the Rfam family "5.8S ribosomal RNA". Lineage: Eukaryota; Fungi. The record is from RNAcentral.